Molecule: ribosomal RNA, 253 nt
Filed under: uncultured bacterium
Lineage: Bacteria
Description: partial 16S ribosomal RNA
Rfam family: Bacterial small subunit ribosomal RNA
Source: RNAcentral
UACGUAUGGUGCGAACGUUGUUCGGAAUCACUGGGCAUAAAGAGCACGUAGGCGGUCUAAUAAGUCCUGUGUGAAAGCCCCCGGCUUAACCGGGGAACUGCACAGGAUACUGUUGGACUAGAGUGCAGGAGGGGAGAGCGGAAUUCCUGGUGGAGCGGUGAAAUGCGUAGAUAUCAGGAGGAACGCCGGUGGCGAAAGCGGCUCUCUGGUCUGCUACUGACGCUGAGGUGCGAAAGCUAGGGGAGCAAACGGG